This 68-nucleotide transfer RNA is filed under the name Kraemeria cunicularia (transparent sand dart). RNAcentral describes it as "tRNA-Gly". Lineage: Eukaryota; Metazoa; Chordata; Actinopteri; Gobiiformes; Kraemeriidae. The record is from RNAcentral.
AUCUUUCUAGUAUCAUUAGUAUUUGUGGCUUCCAACCAUAAGGUCUCGGUUUACCCCGGGGAAAGAUA